AUCCAAUAGUUGCUUGGGAUGCGAAAGUUCCAUUCUAUUAUGAAAUCAUAGGAUUUUCAAAUCAUUUAGGACAUUUAAGCAUCAUCUCACAAACAUGAAGUAUAAAUGAACAAAGAAACAAACCAUCAGACAAUUAAGUAAGAUGCAUCACAAAAAUUCAACUUAAAAAAAAGGGACAGGUUGACGAUAACAGACUAACCUUGUGCAACGCAAGAUCAAGCAAAAGCAACUCAUCAAUCUUUUUUAACUCAGAAUCAGCACUGAAAGCACCUCCUGUAUACAUCUCAGUUGAGGUGGGUAGGAUUUGAACAAGUAAUUUUAGAUGCUCAAACCUGUUUUGUACAUGUUUAGGGCAAGAAAGAUUGAUAGAAAAAAUAUAAGCGCAAAAUAUUGAAGAAGGGUGUUGAUUUACUUUUGUUUGUAUUCGGAGAGCUGUGCAACAUCCGGAUUGAAAAAAACAAACGGUUGAUCGUAUGUUUCCGAGAACAGACUUUCCUAUGGAUAAAAUAUAACAAUCAACAAAUUGAAAUUUGAAGCAGCUAAUAAAGUAUGUCGGAGUAUAACCUUGGUAUUGUUUUACUUUGAGGGCAACCAAAGCAACGAAGAUGGGUGGCAAAAGUGAUUACAUUCCACUAUCCUCAAAACUUAUUGCAGUUUCUCGCUAUAAGGUGAUCCUUAUUGUUUCUCCUUUGUAAUUAAUAAAAAAAGGCAAUAGUUUUCUAUAUUUCAUAAAUACGGUGAGGUGAAAAUUGCAAUCAUAAUUUAACAUAAGAACAAUUUACCUGAUAUUUUGGAGGUUAAGAUUUCUUUUCUUCGUAAUUCUUGUGCUCUAGAUAGUGACUUCUUCACUCAAUUGUAUAGCCGUCAAGCAAACAAAUACAUCUACAAAUGAUGUUUAAUAGCGGGAAUGAGUAUACACUCAGGUAAACAAAAAACUUAAAAUAAUCAUCUCAGAUUUUGCAGUGGCACUUAAAACUAAAUUUGUUACCUGUAAGCUCGGCAUCCCUGUCAAUUCUCUUAUGAAGCUUAAAUAACUCAAUUAAAUUGAACCACUGCAAUGAGAUUUCUUGGCUUGUUUUGUCAACAUUAAUGAUUGUAGAUUUCUUAUUCAAUUCAACUAUGGCAAUAUGAGGGACAACCUUUCUUGAUAUCAUGUGGUAGAUCCAAUCGAACAACCCCAAAAAGUGUUGUGAAACUUUUUCAUUCAACGAAACUUAUUCAUUUGGCGAAUUACUAUGAUUUUCAGGCAAAUACAGCGUGGACCACCAACUUGUUUCGAUUUGCACCUUUACCAUAAACAGGUAAACCCAUCCUUAUUUCUUCUAUUUUUAGUGUUCUCGAUGCACGAGGUCCUGGAGCAGUUUCUGAAUAUGCCAAUGCUGUCCCUCGAAGUUGUUCACCUUUUCGAGUCUUAACCAGUUUUCUUAAUUUUUUUUACCAAAACUCUUAUUAGAAUUUGUUGUUCUUUUCGAUCAAUUUCUUUCACCAUUUUAUUUACCUUGAAUCAUAUAUUAAAUAUAGCAUAAAUAUUUAUGUUUUAAAAAAAAAUCCUUUUUAGCAUGUAGGUUGAAGAGCAACACUGUCAAAAAUCUUAAAAACUCAAAUUAAUAAAUAAAAAAAUACAUAAAAGUUUGCGAAAGUCAGAUAAUUAAUAAAGAAAAUGUAACCAAAAACCAUUUUGAUAGUUUUUUAGAUCAAAUUUGGAAGUGGUAGUUGACAAAGAAAAUACAUAGAUUAAUUUUUUGUGGAUUAAUAAUACCUACAGGUUGAAUGUAAAUAUUCCUGAUUUUUUCUGAAUAUGUAAGUUGAGUUCAUGUAUUGUUAAAAGGCUAUUCAUUUUCUUAAACAUGUAAGUUGCAAUUUUUUCUGAAAUAUUUCUUGUUCGUUGAGAGUGUACUUAUCAACAACACUCAUUAAAGCAUUUCGGGGAGGAUGAGAGAGUCUACUCCCAGAAAAACCUAAUGAAAACACCAACCAACCAAAGCAACUGACCUUUGAACAACAAUUUUAAAAAUUGAAAACAUAAAAAAGAAAGAAGGCAACUGACAAAAAAAAAUGUAAAAUGUCUAACAACAUUUUAUAAAAAAAAUAAAAAAAUAAAGAAUACUUCCCAUUUAAGCAGCUAAUAAGGACCAAAAAGUCCAUAUGGAAGUUUUUGGAACCCAGCACGCCUAAUUUGGAGUAAUCCUAUUCUCAAAGCAGCAACUUUAGCACACAUGAGGGUGUUCUGCUUGCUUAGCGCAAGCAACAACCAUUAGGAUCAAAUAUUCGCAGUUUAGGUACCACUUAGAGUAGAUAUAUAGUUAACUAUACAAUUGUGACCUUUGCUCAAGGUUAAGCUUAACUUUAGGUGAUGUAACCACUUUCACUUACCUUUAAUCAAAUCCAACA
RNAcentral lists this long non-coding RNA (2391 nucleotides) under Malus domestica (apple). RNAcentral's name for it is "long non-coding RNA (MDOM_LNC012580)". The record is from RNAcentral. Lineage: Eukaryota; Viridiplantae; Streptophyta; Magnoliopsida; Rosales; Rosaceae.